Patella vulgata (common limpet) is the source of this 2983-nucleotide long non-coding RNA. RefSeq lists it as uncharacterized. The record is from RefSeq and is a predicted model, not a curated record. The transcript is spliced from 4 exons. Lineage: Eukaryota; Metazoa; Mollusca; Gastropoda; Patellidae.
UUAUGCUUGUAAAUGUCGAAGAAAUGGACGUUGUACGGAACACAACCUAGCUUGUGAUGACAAAACAAAACGGAUUCAUAUUAUUUCCGGUUACUAUGGCUUCACAUAUUGGUACUCGUGCUUUUUUAAGGAUUAUUAUGAUCUCGAUGAAGACUGUCUUCCUGGAUUUAAUGCCACAGUCCGUUCGAAUCUUAUAGAUUCAUGCAAUGGAAAGACGACAUGUAACUUUCAAACACCAAUUCCAGAUUUUAAAUAUUGCUCUAUAAAAAUCGAUUUCUAUGGCAGAAGAAAAUACGUUGGUCAUGAUACAUACUCCUACCAUGCGUAUGAGCAUUAUACAUACUCCUACAUACAGUUUGAAUGCUUGGCAGUCACAACUGCCUUGCCCACCAGAAGCACGAUCCCUACAACAGUUACAAUAAAGUCGACUGAUAUAGACAGUUCCAAACAUGAAAAAUCCAGAGAAUCCUACACUCCUGAAGAUGUAUCUGGAAGAACAGAAGUAAUCUUAAAUACUAUGGCCAUGGUUUUAAAUAAAGAUACACAAGUAGAUACGGCUGCUAUUGCUGGAAGCGCUGUGGGGUGUAUUCUUCUGAUCAUAUUAGUAAUUAUAGUUGCCGUCAUACUAAAACGAAGAAUGAUUGGGGCUUUGAUCGACAGUCGCUUGAAAGGCAGUCCAAGAGUGUCCAAUCCAGUAUACGAAGCACCUGGCGAUGGUUACAAUAAUGUUAUUUUCAAGAACGAUAAUUCUCCAUCUGUAAACGUGAUUAAAUCAGCAGACGAUUACAAUUAUUUACAUGAUGCCACGACCGAUAACUCAAUGACAACUGGUAACACGUACAACUAUCUGGGGCAAAUGGGUAGUGAUUAUAACCAUUUACAUGGAGCCUAUAAUCAUCUUGGUAUGGUAAAUAAUAAGACGAAGAAUUCAGAAGAACUUCACAAUGCCAACUACAACCAUAUUGGUGGGUGGAAGGUUGACAAACCUGAUGUUGACUAUAACCAUCUUCAUGGUGACAAGAAUGAUAUUCCAAAAGCCGAUUAUAACCACCUAGGCGAAAACAAGAAGACAGCAAUUUCAAAUGACUACAACCAUAUAAGGGACAUAACCAACGAGACGACUGGUGAUGUCCAGGGAGAACAUCAGGAAGAUGUUCAGUACGAGAUAGCUGACGAUCAAAGGGGAUAUUACUCCAAUAUUUCUGAACGGCAAUCGGACUAUGAAAAUGUUCGCAUUUCGGGUCAUCAAACUUGUGGGUAGUUUCAGAACUGAUGUUCCUACAAUUGCUAACCUACACGAUAGUAUUAUCAUUCUGUAUAGAGUAGUAAAAUAUUUAACAAAUUAUAUUUAUAGUUUGUUCAUUGUACGCCUAAAAUUGAAAGCCCCUGCUCCAAUGCGAACCACAACAGGUGGUAAAUGAGAUUAAUAUUUAAGAUGCUUUAUUAUUUUAAGAUAGUCUAUUGUUUUUGCAGAUAAUUGAUGACAUAGAUUUGUAUUUUACUAUGUUUUAGUUACAAUUUAUUUAUUUUAUAUGGGGAUUUCAUUUUGAUAAAAUGCUUUAUUUUGUAUUUUAAUAUAUGGAAAUUAUAGUUAGUGCAUUUCAUAUUUUUAUGGCGAUAUAUAACGUCUUCAUUAGCCCAGUUGGAGUAGAAUAGUAGGACGUUAAACCUAUUUAAUUUAUAUUAUUAUUAAGUAUUGUAGUUAUAGUUUGUUGAUAUCGGCCCGGCUUUUCAAAGCUCUGUUAGCUUAUAACGACACUUUAACAUGGAGUUAACGGAUCGUUAUCUUUAACGGAAAGAAAGUCGGUUGCUGGAAGCCCCGUUAAGUUUAACAUGUCGUUAAUUUGCCGUUGUAUUUAAUGAAGGGGUUGGGGCUCCAUUAUCUGUUUAACGAUGUCAGUUGAAGAAUACCCUUAGCAAAAAGUUAUAUAUUACCAGUGUAGUUUUCUAUAGAAUUCUACAGAACAUUCUAGGGGGUUAGGGAUAUCCUAUUUCCUGUAGGAAAUAACGGCCCCAAAUAUUCUAAAGUUUCUGUAGUACAAUUCCUAUAAUUGUUUCUACAGAUUUAUGAUAAAAUUUCUAUAGAAAAAUACUAUAUCGUUUUCUUAUAGUGAUUUCUGUAGGAAAUUCUAAAGUAAUCUUUUUGUCUUUAACCAGGUAGUGUGAACAGACUGCAUCGUUCUCCCACUGUCUUCAGUUUCUGAUUAAUAAUAAAUUCUAUGCAGUUGAAUAUGUGCAUUGAAUUUAAAAAUGUAAAAUUCAGCCAUUGACCUAACAGUCUUCUCUUUUAUUAACUUUAAUCAGUUCGUUAGAUAACGGAUAAUGAAAUUGACUUUCCACAACUAACGAUCCAUUAAAAUAACUGAGAUUUGAGCAACCUGCCCAGGUCAUAAAUGAAAGACACUAUAAUUCUAAUUUAAUAUGAAAGUAAAAUAUAAAAUGUUUUAUUAUUUUAAAGUGGUUUUGAUGUUAUAAAUUACUGUUUUCAGCUGCUCAUUUUAUAUCGUGACUAGCUGUUUAUAGGAGUUUAGUAAAAGUAAAGUCCGAAAUCGGAAGUGAUAGUGGCAAGCCACCCGACAUAUCCUGCUGUCCUUACACCCCUUAUGUCUACCCCGGGAAGUCCUAGUGUAGCCGGCAACCCAUAACGGACGACGGUCACAAAUGUAAUAUAUAAUGGAAAGUAAACCAUAACUUGGUUUAUUAUUUAUCAUAUAUCUCCUACAUAGUUUAUUAGGCGGUAUUAACAAAUAAUGUUCAAUCUAUGCCUGCUCGUCUUACCUGCUGCGUGCCUUACGGAUCGGUGCUCGGUCCAAUAUUGCUUCCGCUAUACUGCCAUAAUUUAGCUGGUAUUAUCGCUAAACAUGAUCAUGAUCAUCAUAUUAUUAUUUAUCAUAUAUUGUCGACAUAGUUUAUUACAGUUAUAGUUUGUUAAUUUUUAUAUAGCGAUAGUUGAACAAAGAAAUAAAAUGCCUUUUCAUUUUAA